RNAcentral lists this ribosomal RNA (165 nucleotides) under uncultured bacterium. Its description in RNAcentral is "partial 16S ribosomal RNA". It matches the Rfam family "Bacterial small subunit ribosomal RNA", at positions 354 to 511 of the family's 1533-position model. The record is from RNAcentral.
GUAGGGAAUCUUCCACAAUGGACGAAAGUCUGAUGGAGCAACGCCGCGUGAGUGAAGAAGGGUUUCGGCUCGUAAAACUCUGUUGUUAAAGAAGAACAUAUCUGAGAGUAACUGUUCAGGUAUUGACGGUAUUUAACCAGAAAGCCACGGCUAACUACGUGCCAG